CAGGUUGGUCAAUGAUACAUAUAGGAUUAGUAUGUUUGAUGGAUUGAUAAAAUUCAAUUAGAUAAAUUUAUAUGAUUUUCAAUGAGAUAAAUUUCAUAUGGAAUUGAUUAUAGAAAUUUAUCACAUAAAUUUAACUGAGUUGUAGUUAGCCAGUACAUUUUUUUUUUCACAAACAGGAAGUUUCGGAUCCAAUUUGGAUGUAAUGAGGAUUACCGUAUAUGACACAAUAUCUCUGUCGAUUCCUUCUAGUCGAGCCUCUCAGUUUAUCAUUAUACCUGGUCUCAUACAUGGAAUUCUGUGAAAAGCAGUAUGUACGUCAUGGAGGGAGAUCUUUCAUAUCUUUCGAGAUCCACCCUAAAAAAUGCAAAGAAUCAUAUUUUACUCAGUAAUGAAGAGUUUGAACCAAUAUUUCUAGAUGGAUGGAGUGGGGUAUUACUAAUGUGUUUAGGUCAAGAUUUCUAUAUGAACCAGUAUCCUAUGUUUGGGUGUUGUGCUUAUUGUUUUGAGAUUUCUUUUUACCUUUUCGUGAUGUCAAUUUCGUCAACAAAUUAUUGCCUUCUUUGAUUUGGUUGUCAUUCUUUUCGUUUUGGGUUGUGCAGUUGUAGGUGUCAUUGCUACAUCAGGCGAUUGCUUUGCAUUUUUUGGUAGAUGUGAAACCUGUUUCUGCUUCUUCAGAGGAGGGUUUUGGUCUUUAUUGUUGGAUACAUCAUCGGAGACAACAUGUUCCUCUUUGACGUCAAUUAAGGGUUUGGUUUCUGAAUCAGGAGUUCUAGCAGAGGUGUCCGUGGUGAUGGUGGCGAUGAGGGCAGCGCUGUCGGUGGCAGCGGUGGUGGUGGUGAUGGUGGGUGGUGUCGGAUCAGUGAUUGCAAUGUUGUUGAUUUCGUUGUUGGAUGAAUCGUUGUCAGCGUCCUCAUCUUUGUUUUGUCAGAACUGGGCGAUGGUGGUGGCGGUGGUGAUCCGGCGGUGGUGAUGGUGGUAGCGAAGCUCACGGUUAAAGGAGGUGAUUACGGGGAUGGUGUGGGUUAAAAGUGGUGGUGAUGGAGUUCGAUGACGGAGGUGAGGUUGAGAGGUGGUGAUGAUAAUGCUCACAUGGUGGUUGGUCUUCUCAUAGGUUCAUGAAGUGAGCAUUGUGAAAGUUGUUUGGGUUCCUCCAGAAUAUGGUGAUGGAGUUGUAUGCAUUUUUGCAGAUGGAACUUUGUCAUUGUGGGGGGAGGUUGCUAAAGGUAUCCAAUGAAUUUUCUAUGUCAUUUACACCCAGUAUCAUAGUCUAAAAUUAGGCAGUGAUACACAUCGGCCAAUUCCUUUUGAUUUGCAUUUAAUAUGUUCUUCUUAGGAACAACAUCGUCGAUAACUCUUUGCUCUGUGUUUCAUUUUGGUUUGUUCGUUGUUUGUUCUUUUUACUCUUCUUUGAUAGAUUUUUAUAUGCUUUUUUGUAAUCUUUUCAUUUUAAGCCAGAAACACCCAUCUUUGUUGCUCAUGAUUAAAAAAUACCACUACCUCAUCAUUCUGGAUGAGUUUUUUGUUUAAAAAUUCUGUGUGUACCAUUUUCCUUUGUAAUAAUCAAGAAAAAUAUUACUCAAGCUUUGUAUGUUGGAGAGCCUCCCAUUUUGUGACUUGUGAACAAAGCCUUACUGUUAUUUUGAACAUCAUUUUGUCAUUCUAUAGAUACCACUGUCGCCACCGCCACCGCCACCGCCACCGCCAUCGCCUAGCUCUGUCAAAAACCUAGAACCACCAUUUCACAACAUGUUAUAGGUGAAGAUGAAGAAGGAAGAUGGACAAAGAAACAAAAGAGAUGAGUUUUUGGAAUUUUCAAAGUUAGUUUUUGCGCUACUUUUGGUAUACUGAAACAAUCCAUUUUGGGGAGGAGCAAGAAAGCAAGGUAGUGUAGGACGAAAUAGGAAGUGAGGUGAAGAGAUUGGCAAAAUAACGAAAUAACACCGUUAAGAAUCGAGAAAGUUAUGGAGUCUGAAAGAUGGCUUGAAGAAAAUCAGAAACGGGAGGAAAAAUCUUACUUUUUGUCAACUGAAGCAAGGUGUAUGAGGAAUGGAAUGAAAACUAGACCAUGGGGUGAAUUCAAUGCCGCAAAAAUAAGGUGGAACAGAGUUAGGGAGAUACAAGGACUUUAACAGGUGGGUUUGAAUAUAAAAAUUUUGUGUGCGGUUCAAGGAAGAAGAUGAAUGGAGAUGGACAGAGCGGAUAAAUUGUGACACAGAAAUAACAUCUAGGUUUUAAUUAAAACCCUGGGGUUUAAAUUGAAAAAUAUGCGAAAUCCUUAGAUUUUUUUUUUUUGGCUUCAAAAAAAAAAAAAAAAA
This is a non-coding RNA of Camellia sinensis, 2315 nucleotides long. The record is from RefSeq and is a predicted model, not a curated record. Lineage: Eukaryota; Viridiplantae; Streptophyta; Magnoliopsida; Ericales; Theaceae.